CCUACGGGAGGCAGCAGUGAGGAAUAUUGGUCAAUGGACGGAAGUCUGAACCAGCCAAGUAGCGUGCAGGAAGACGGCCCUAUGGGUUGUAAACUGCUUUUAUGUGGGGAUAAAGUGAGGGACGUGUCCCUUAUUGCAGGUACCACAUGAAUAAGGACCGGCUAAUUCCGUGC
RNAcentral lists this ribosomal RNA (173 nucleotides) under uncultured bacterium. RNAcentral's name for it is "partial 16S ribosomal RNA". It matches the Rfam family "Bacterial small subunit ribosomal RNA", at positions 338 to 508 of the family's 1533-position model. The record is from RNAcentral.